GAUCAUGGCUCAGGAUGAACGCUGGCGGCGUGCCUAACACAUGCAAGUCGAACGGACUUACAUUGAAGCCUAGCGAUAUGUAAGUUAGUGGCGGACGGGUGAGUAACGCGUGGGUAACCUGCCUUGUACUGGGGGGACAACAGUUGGAAACGACUGCUAAUACCGCAUAAGCGCACAGCUUCGCAUGAAGCAGUGUGAAAAACUCCGGUGGUACAAGAUGGACCCGCGUCUGAUUAG
RNAcentral lists this ribosomal RNA (237 nucleotides) under uncultured bacterium. Its description in RNAcentral is "partial 16S ribosomal RNA". It matches the Rfam family "Bacterial small subunit ribosomal RNA", at positions 15 to 244 of the family's 1533-position model. The record is from RNAcentral.